This 116-nucleotide signal recognition particle RNA is filed under the name Pan troglodytes (chimpanzee). RNAcentral describes it as "Metazoan signal recognition particle RNA". It matches the Rfam family "Metazoan signal recognition particle RNA". Rfam says of the family: The signal recognition particle (SRP) is a universally conserved ribonucleoprotein. It is involved in the co-translational targeting of proteins to membranes. The record is from Rfam by way of RNAcentral. Lineage: Eukaryota; Metazoa; Chordata; Mammalia; Primates; Hominidae.
GCCGGGCGUGGUGGCUCAUGCCUGUAAUCCCAGCACUUUGGGAGGCUGAGGUGGGUGGAUCACCUGAGGUCAGGAGUUCAGACCAGCCUGACCAACGAGGUGAAACCCCAUCUCUA